Molecule: long non-coding RNA, 328 nt
Organism: Arabidopsis thaliana (thale cress)
Lineage: Eukaryota; Viridiplantae; Streptophyta; Magnoliopsida; Brassicales; Brassicaceae
Product: other RNA
Exons: 1
Source: RefSeq
AGAGUCCUCUUCUGAUUCCUAGGCACUUGUUUAUUCUGGUUAUCUCCUUAAUUUAUUAGGCUUUUUAAAUUUGAUGACCUCUGAAUCGGUUUUGAUUAUUAAAUGGUUAUAGUUUAUGGAGGAACCAUGGACGGUAGAUUGGAGUCCUCCUCCUAACCCCGCUUGGGGUUGACAUGGUUUUGUGAUGCUCGAAACUCGAUUGUUCUCGAACCAGUCAGUAAGAUUAAACAUUGACAUUUGUGGGUUCUUUCUCGAUUGUUCUCAGCUCUUCGGUUCUCUUCUUUUUGAUUAGUGAUUACAUGUUAACUCUGCCCUUUUGUGUAUAAUG